UACAGAGGUCUCGAGCGUUAGGCGGAAUCACUGGGCUUAAAGCGCGUGUAGGCGGCCCUGCAAGUCGGAUGUGAAAUCCCACGGCUCAACCGUGGAAGUGCAUUCGAAACUGCAGGGCUAGAGUCCUGGAGAGGAAGGUGGAAUGCUUGGUGUAGAGGUGAAAUUCGUAGAUAUCAAGCGGAACACCGGUGGCGAAGGCGGCCUUCUGGACAGUGACUGACGCUGAGACGCGAAAGCGUGGGGAGCAAACAGG
RNAcentral lists this ribosomal RNA (253 nucleotides) under uncultured bacterium. Its description in RNAcentral is "partial 16S ribosomal RNA". It matches the Rfam family "Bacterial small subunit ribosomal RNA", at positions 524 to 776 of the family's 1533-position model. The record is from RNAcentral.